Bos taurus (domestic cattle) is the source of this 70-nucleotide non-coding RNA. The record is from Rfam. Lineage: Eukaryota; Metazoa; Chordata; Mammalia; Artiodactyla; Bovidae.
UCCUGAUGCUCAGAUGGUAAAGAAUCUGCCUGCAAUGCAGGAGACCCAGGUUCUAUCCCUGGGUCAGGAA